GAUGGCCAGUGCUUGCUCAGUCUUGAAGAGUCAGGAAAUGUCCCAGGACCCUAAAGGCAGCAUAGGCCUUAACCAAGAGGGGAGAGCGUUUCCUGCCAAGGACUUGAACGUGCUGAGCCCUGGCUCCAUUUUAAGGAAAUGAAAGUAGUUCACUGCUAUUGGAACUGACUAUGAGGGAGGAAGUAGCAAACGACAAAGGCUGGAAAUAAACAGAAGUUAAUUUUUGGCAGAGAUUCAUAAUUUGGACUUUUAUGUUAAGGUCACCAAGUUGCCAUGAAAAAGUGCUAAGUAGCGAAUGACAACAGAUUUGUCCAUUAUGAAGAUGACUCUGGCUCAGUAUCCAGGCGUGAAGGAAGGAGAUGAGCUCUGGACACCGAGAGCUAUAAGAUGUUGGGAAGGAGAGCCAUGGAAACAGUGAGGCAAGACUUGGUGCAGGCCUGAGUGAGGCGGUGGCAUCUGGGAUAGCAAGAAAUGGACAGAUGCAAGAGGUCUUAGGAGGACCUGUGGGUAUUUGGGCUCAGCGGCAUACGCAUCAAAAGUGUAAGAAAGAAGAAAAAUGAUGUGGAAAUAGUAUCCAGACAGCCAUCAGCCUUCAUUUGACCACACUGCAAUUAUCCUUAGAAAACAUCCACAUUUCACUUAAGGUGCAAUUAGAGGGACUGUUUGUUGUGACAGUCAAAUCCCCAGAGGGCACACCAUGUGGAUCAGGUUGGGAGGUUAGAGACUAUUCUAGCCUGAAUGAGGUUGCGCCAUCUCAGGUAGUGAGAGUGAGGAGCGAGAGAAUGGAGGAGAGGAAGAGAGAGAGCAAUAUGACACCAGAUCAGAGAGCUGACACUGUUUAGUGUGACAGAUUGCUCCAUCCCACUGAUGACAGGUGGGUCUGCUGAGAAGGUGUAUAAUUUCAACACGAAGGAAUAAAAAGGAAAAAUUCAACCACUGCCUCCUGUCUCCUGGUGGCCAAAGC
RNAcentral lists this long non-coding RNA (964 nucleotides) under Marmota monax (woodchuck). Lineage: Eukaryota; Metazoa; Chordata; Mammalia; Rodentia; Sciuridae. The record is from RNAcentral.